CCUACGGGUUGCAGCAGUGAGGAAUAUUGGUCAAUGGAGGCAACUCUGAACCAGCCAUGCCGCGUGCAGGAUGACUGCCCUAUGGGUUGUAAACUGCUUUUAUACAGGAAGAAACCUAUCUACGUGUAGAUAGCUGACGGUACUGUACGAAUAAGGAUCGGCUAACUCCGUGCCAGCAGCCGCGGUAAUACGGAGGAUCCAAGCGUUAUCCGGAAUCAUUGGGUUUAAAGGGUGCGUAGGCGGAUUGAUAAGUCAGAGGUGAAAUCCUACAGCUUAACUGUAGAACUGCCUUUGAUACUGUUGAUCUUGAAUAUAGUUGAAGUAGGCGGAAUGUAACAUGUAGCGGUGAAAUGCAUAGAGAUGUUACAGAACACCGAUUGCGAAGGCAGCUUACUAAGCUAAUAUUGACGCUGAGGCACGAAAGCGUGGGGAGCGAACAGGAUUAGAUACCCGAGUAGUC
RNAcentral lists this ribosomal RNA (460 nucleotides) under uncultured bacterium. RNAcentral describes it as "bacterial SSU rRNA". It matches the Rfam family "Bacterial small subunit ribosomal RNA", at positions 338 to 795 of the family's 1533-position model. The record is from RNAcentral.